RNAcentral lists this ribosomal RNA (497 nucleotides) under uncultured bacterium. Its description in RNAcentral is "partial 16S ribosomal RNA". It matches the Rfam family "Bacterial small subunit ribosomal RNA", at positions 28 to 507 of the family's 1533-position model. The record is from RNAcentral.
GAUGAACGCUGGCGGCGUGCCUAAUACAUGCAAGUCGAGCGAACAGACGAGGAGCUUGCUCCUCUGACGUUAGCGGCGGACGGGUGAGUAACACGUGGAUAACCUACCUAUAAGACUGGGAUAACUUCGGGAAACCGGAGCUAAUACCGGAUAAUAUAUUGAACCGCAUGGUUCAAUAGUGAAAGACGGUUUUGCUUUCACUUAUAGAUGGAUCCGCGCCGCAUUAGCUAGUUGGUAAGGUAACGGCUUACCAAGGCAACGAUGCGUAGCCGACCUGAGAGGGGGAUCGGCCACACUGGAACUGAGACACGGUCCAGACUCCUACGGGAGGCAGCAGUAGGGAAUCUUCCGCAAUGGGCGAAAGCCUGACGGAGCAACGCCGCGUGAGGGAUGAAGGUCUUCGGAUCGUAAAACUCUGUUAUUAGGGAAGAACAAAUGUGUAAGUAACUAUGCACGUCUUGACGGUACCUAAUCAGAAAGCCACGGCUAACUACGUG